UAGCGCCACGCUAAACUUUCAUAAUGCCCGAGCAAGCGCUUCUUUCUUCUUACUCUUAUGAUAUUAUUAUGAAUCUUCAUUAGUUUCUACAUGGGAUAGAUUAUUUUUCUAUAUUUAUACUCCGAAAGGAUGACUUUACUGAGAUAAAUAAUCUCUUUUGCUUUUACAUGUGCUUAUUUGAAUCCUUUUAAAACAUCACAAAGGAAGGAUCAAUCGAGUAUAUUAUUAUUGGACAAGGACAUCUUUAUUCAUUUCACGCAGCGCAUCUGCAAAUAACUUAACGAGUUCGGAAUUAUACGAAAAUGAAGGAUCGAUCGAAAUGUCAAAUGAUUCUCAGCUUCUAGAGGAAUCGCCGAUAACGGCAAUACAAACAUCAUUAAUUUUAAUGAAAUUAGAAAUGAUUAAGCCAAGUAUGGAAAAUGUGCCAUCAACGAACUCGGAAAAAGCUUUUACCUGUAUCGAAGAAAAUACGAGGAUGGAAUUGCCCUUUUUAGAUAAUUCAAACAAUGAAUCAAUACAAAAUUUAACUAAUAUCGAAGAAAACAUUAUUAGCGGUUCAACAUUUACUUUUUCUACAAAACAAACAAAGGAGAUGUCAAUGAAACUUAUGAUUAGCUGCGACACUAUAACAACGCAAGCAGCAACCCCUUAUUCUUCAUCCAUGUCUGCAAGUACACUUGUACCAUCAAGAGAUAUUUUACAAAUAUCUGCAGCUCCCUUAUCCUCUAUAGGAUCUACUCCUAAAAGCGAAAUUUUAACAUUCACUACCGAUUAUAACAAUCGUUCACCCGAUACUUGUAGUGUACUCGUAGAUGUAGUUGACCAGCACGAUCCAUUAUCGACUUUUAAUCGAGAUCUACAGCUAUCAAUCGAGGAGUCGUUUGAUUUACCACAACGAAGUAUAUCAUCUAUAAGAAAUGAUUUUGCAAAUCGAGCAAGACAAUCUCGUCAAACUUGGAAAUUUGGAAAAUGUUUGUGUUGUACUGCACCGAUAGACGAUGAGGUUUCAAUGUUUUAUUUCUUUCAGGAUUUAAUCGAUUGUAUCAUAGGUGCUUCUACAUAUUUUUAAUCAAUUCGCCUAACAGAUUGAUACGUUACCACAUUUAAGAGAAGAUCCACCUACAUAUUCAUCGAUAUACGUUAACCCAACAACGAUAUUACAUCAAAGAUCACCAGUUACGCGAUCUAAUUUGCGGGGUAAUGGAAGAUUUAUUUUUCCAGAUACUAAUCAAUCGUCUUUCAUAGCACCUAUUCCUCCACCAAGUUAUGCUCAAGCUCAGGGUAUUCAACUUAACUCAUAUUCAACUGAACAAAAUCUCUCGGUUUCAUCAAAUAUUAAUACUUGGUCCUCAAGACCUGUAGCUACUAUUUGUACAAGAUGUUUAGCCCUUAUCGUUACCACAACAGAAGUUCGUCGAUCGACUAUUACACAUUUAAGUGCAUUUCUUCUUUGCCUAUGUGGGUUAGUAAAUAAAUACAAAAAGUGU
Molecule: RNA transcript, 1487 nt
Organism: Polistes canadensis
Lineage: Eukaryota; Metazoa; Arthropoda; Insecta; Hymenoptera; Vespidae
Exons: 5
Source: RefSeq, a predicted model, not a curated record